Molecule: ribosomal RNA, 253 nt
Filed under: uncultured bacterium
Lineage: Bacteria
Description: partial 16S ribosomal RNA
Rfam family: Bacterial small subunit ribosomal RNA
Source: RNAcentral
UACGGGGGGGGUAAGCGUUGUUCGGAAUUACUGGGCGUAAAGGGCUCGUAGGCGGCCAACUAAGUCGGAUGUGAAAUCCCCAGGCUCAACCUGGGAACUGCAUCCGAUACUGGAUGGCUUGAAUCCGGGAGAGGGAUGCAGAAUUCCAGGUGUAGCGGUGAAAUGCGUAGAUAUCUGGAGGAAUACCGGUGGCGAAGGCGGCAUCCUGGACCGGCAUUGACGCUGAGGAGCGAAAGCUAGGGGAGCAAACGGG